CAGUCGCCGCGGGAAUACGAAGGGUGCAAGCGUUAAUCGGAAUUACUGGGCGUAAAGCGUGCGUAGGCGGUUUGUUAAGUCUGCUGUGAAAUCCCCGGGCUCAACCUGGGAAUGGCAGUGGAUACUGGCUCGCUAGAGUGUGUCAGAGGAUGGUGGAAUUCCCGGUGUAGCGGUGAAAUGCGUAGAGAUCGGGAGGAACAUCAGUGGCGAAGGCGGCCAUCUGGGACAACACUGACGCUGAGGCACGAAAGCGUGGGGAGCAAACAGGAUUAGAGACCCGUGUAGUCCCUGUCUCUUAUAC
Molecule: ribosomal RNA, 301 nt
Filed under: uncultured bacterium
Lineage: Bacteria
Description: partial 16S ribosomal RNA
Rfam family: Bacterial small subunit ribosomal RNA
Source: RNAcentral